UACGGGAGGCAGCAGUGGGGAAUAUUGCACAAUGGGCGCAAGCCUGAUGCAGCCAUGCCGCGUGUAUGAAAAAGGCCUUCGGGUUGUAAAGUACUUUCAGUCGUGAGGAAGGCGUUAAGGUUAAUAACCUUAGCAAUUGACGUUAGCGACAGAAGAAGCACCGGCUAACUCCGUGCCAGCAGCCGCGGUAAUACGGAGGGUGCGAGCGUUAAUCGGAAUUACUGGGCGUAAAGGGCACGCAGGCGGUUAAUUAAGUUGGAUGUGAAAUCCCCGGGCUUAACCUGGGAAUGGCAUUCAAGACUGGUUAGCUAGAGUCUUGUAGAGGGGGUAGAAUUCCAUGUGUAGCGGUGAAAUGCGUAGAGAUGUGGAGGAAUACCGGUGGCGAAGGCGGCCCCUGGACAAAGACUGACGCUCAUGUGCGAAAGCGUGGGGAGCAAACAGGGAUUAGAUACC
Molecule: ribosomal RNA, 453 nt
Filed under: uncultured bacterium
Lineage: Bacteria
Description: bacterial SSU rRNA
Rfam family: Bacterial small subunit ribosomal RNA
Source: RNAcentral